This 253-nucleotide ribosomal RNA is filed under the name uncultured bacterium. RNAcentral's name for it is "partial 16S ribosomal RNA". It matches the Rfam family "Bacterial small subunit ribosomal RNA", at positions 524 to 776 of the family's 1533-position model. The record is from RNAcentral.
UACAGAGGAUGCAAGCGUUAUCCGGAAUCAUUGGGCGUAAAGCGCACGUAGGCGGCUCGUUAAGUCGGAUGUGAAAGCCCCGGGCUCAACCCGGGAAGUGCAUUCGAAACUGGCGAGCUUGAAUAUGGAAGAGGGUCGCGGAAUUCCCGGUGUAGAGGUGAAAUUCGUAGAUAUCGGGAGGAACACCAGUGGCGAAGGCGGCGACCUGGGCCAAUAUUGACGCUGAGGUGCGAAAGCGUGGGGAGCAAACAGG